This 735-nucleotide ribosomal RNA is filed under the name uncultured marine bacterium. RNAcentral's name for it is "bacterial SSU rRNA". It matches the Rfam family "Bacterial small subunit ribosomal RNA", at positions 14 to 794 of the family's 1533-position model. The record is from RNAcentral.
UGAUCCUGGCUCAGAACGUACGCUGGCGGCACGCCUAACACAUGCAAGUCGAACGAAGUAGCAAUACUUAGUGGCAGACGGGUGAGUAACAUGUAGGUAUCUGCCCUUUGGCCUGGAAUAACACGAGGAAACUUGUGCUAAUACCGGAUAAGUCUUUACGGAGAAAGCUUUAUGCACCAUUGGAUGAGCCUGCACUUGAUUAGUUUGUUGGUGGGGUAAUGGCCUACCAAGACUGUGAUCAAUAGCUGAUUUGAGAGGAUGAUCAGCCACAUUGGGACUGAGACACGGCCCAAACUCCUACGGGAGGCAGCAGUGGGGAAUCUUGCACAAUGGAGGAAACUCUGAUGCAGCGAUGCCGCGUGAGUGAAGAAGGCCCUUGGGUUGUAAAGCUCUUUCGUCGGGGAAGAAAAUGACUGUACCCGAAUAAGAAGGUCCGGCUAACUUCGUGCCAGCAGCCGCGGUAAUACGAAGGGACCUAGCGUAGUUCGGAAUUACUGGGCUUAAAGAGUUCGUAGGUGGUUGAAAAAGUUAGUGGUGAAAUCCCAGAGCUUAACUCUGGAACUGCCAUUAAAACUUUUCAGCUAGAGUAUGAUAGAGGAAAGCAGAAUUUCUAGUGUAGAGGUGAAAUUCGUAGAUAUUAGAAAGAAUACCAAAUGCGAAGGCAGCUUUCUGGAUCAUUACUGACACUGAGGAACGAAAGCAUGGGUAGCGAAGAGGAUUAGAUACCCUCGUAGU